CGGAAAUAUAUUAAAAAUGAGUAGACGUAAAUAAAUAGAAUAGAUGAAAAGACAGAUCAGUUUGAAAGGUUCAUUAAAGGGGGACAUAUAGAAAACAUUUUCUACUGUAUAUUGGGAGAGAAAGAUUGGUAUUACCUCAACAUUGGCGGGGACACGCCCCCCCUCAAAAAGAAUACGUGGUUACGCCCAUAGUUGUAGGAGACACAGCAGCGACGGAGUCGGAGUAGGAGACACAUUUUUCCUCAGGAGUCACGACACAGCAGACACGGGGUUUUCUUUCUUCAAUUUUAACUUUUCUCAGGAGUUUAAGUCAUCUGGUGGGCGUGGUUGAGUGCGCAGGUGCGUCAUUCAAACCGAGCGAGAUGACCGUUGAGGAUCAGACAGCGCGAGACAGCUCCUUUCAGGGUGGUUCCUACUAGGUCUGCUAAUGGGACCGCCCUCCUGACUGGCUGCCUAUAAAGUCACCCGCUCUAGCGGUGCUGAGCAGCGAGAUGUCACAGAGAAGAGUGUGUCCUCACUUGACUCAGCUACCCUUAUAAAUGGCUCCUCAUGGUUUUCUCUUAAAAUUAAGGCCUUCCUUGCGAGACAAGAAUCUUCACCAUCUGAAUUAUGAGUGCCCAUCGUCAUUCCUUCUUCUCCCCUUUACUGGAUCUGGAUCUGGACACUCAUUAUCAGCUUGCGCAUCUAACUGCUGAUAUCAUGGUGCUACUUAACUAUCUUCGCAGCACCCCCUCUGGAAAUGGAAAUGCGGGGUCCGUCCGCCCCCCCGAUACAAAAUCUGCCCCGUGAACGUGUGUAUUGACGCCUCUACACAGCCAAAACCCCCCUCCAGCUUUCAAUCUGAGGAAGAUGUCACCUUCUCUGACCUGGUCCCCGACCAUUCUUCCCUCUUCUCACCUACCAGUCCGCCCCACUCUCAGUGGUCCUCUCACUUCACCUUUGCUGACUUUCCCAUGUUCCCAGGACGCACCCCAUUUUCUUCCCCCCACCACUCUCCUCAAGAUUACGCACCCACCAGUCCUGUGAAUUAUCAAUAAAAUUACAUAUUACUCAUACUAAGUGUCCCUCAUGUUUAUUUCAUGUCAUUUUUAUCCACAACACAGCCCACUUGAAGUACAUCGACAAUGUCUCGAGAGUCCUUGAAUGGAUGAAAUCACUGUGCCAGCGGUACAAGGUCACUCCGGCCAAGUUAUUUCUGACGCGUGUUUCCAAGUUCCUCCAUUAACUCGAUGAGUAACUGUCCAAGGGCCGAGUUGGCUCCACGAGGCUGUGGAGUCUCCAGAGACUGCUGCAGUGGGAGUGCAGACAUCUGUCCGGUCGAGUCGUGCUCCACAGGCAAGGCGUGCGAGCGGAGAAGAGUGAGGGAGUACUUACAGCUCCUGCACGGCAAACUGUUGGACGCUGUCCCUGUUUCACUGGCUGAUCUGAACUCGUCCAGCAGACCCGGACAUGCUCAACCAUUGCAUCGGGCUGCUGUGUGCUCACUUCUUUUCGGUCAGCGGACACAGGACCGGAGUCCUGCAGAACCUCACGACUGAGGAGUUUGAGAACCUCGAGAAGGCUGACUCUUUCUGAUCAAUGUGAUGCAGCACAAACCUGCCUCUGCUUUUGGACUCGCUAAGCUAGCCAUCACCAAGCUGGAGCUGAAGUGGCUGAAAGCUUUCUGCCGCCUGAGGAAGCAUAUGCCGGGAUAUGAGACUUCUGUGGGGUGGCUUUUCUUUUCUGGCACACAGGCCAGGAUUUCUGCGCAUGUCAAGCUUGCCCUGCGGGCACUCGUGGGAAGAGACAUCACUGUGUCGGACAUCCGCACAGCUCUAGCAACCUACUGCGAACGCAAAAGACGAACAACGCAUGCUCGUGACCAAGACGAUGUGCUACAGCAAUUAGCUGAGUCGUGGAGCUGUCGGUCAGCGAGGCGCACUCCGCCCAGUCUGCGCUAGAGUCCGCUGCGGGCAUAGGUGCUACAUAGGCCGGUUGUUUUUGGCUAAUGGCCCUGUGUGUGUGUGUGUGUGUGUGUGUGUGUGUGUGUGUGUGUAAAUAUUUCAUUAAAAUGUUUGAACUGAAUUCCCCUUGUCAAAAGUACAGUAGCAUCACUCGUGGCGAGACCACACAACCGAAAUUUCCGAAAGUACAUGGACUGAGCUCCGGGCGAAGUUCGCAGGCUUUGCCCAGGGAGAGAGCGUCAAUUAGCUGAAUUUUUUCCUCGUUGAUUUCAAUGGUUUAUGCGUUUCUAGUCAGGGCAAGCUACUGUUUGUUGCACCUCUUCCAUCCUCCUCCACGGUCUGAAGCCAGCUGCAGCCACCUUUUCAUCACCGUCACAAUCUCAGCACUUGUUGCCCUUGAUGUUAACGGGUUCUUUCGGACAGCAUCUAAUGAACAUGAGGCAAAACACGAGGCGCACUCCGCCCAGUCUGCGCUAGAGUCCGCUGCGGGCAUAGGUGCUACAUAGGCCGGUUGUUUUUGGCUAAUGGCCCUGUGUGUGUGUGUGUGUGUGUGUGUGUAAAUAUUUCAUUAAAAUGUUUGAACUGAAUUCCCCUUGUCAAAAGUACAGUAGCAUCACUCAUGGCGAGACCACACAACCGAAAUUUCCGAAAGUACAUGGACUGAGCUCCGGGCGAAGUUCGCAGGCUUUGCCCAGGGAGAGAGCGUCAAUUAGCUGAAUUUUUUCCUCGUUGAUUUCAAUGGUUUAUGCGUUCCUAGUCAGGGCAAGCUACUGUUUGUUGCACCUCUUCCAUCCUCCUCCACGGUCUGAAGCCAGCUGCAGCCACCUUUUCAUCACCGUCACAAUCUCAGCACUUGUUGCCCUUGAUAUUA
Long non-coding RNA from Ictalurus punctatus (channel catfish), 2814 nucleotides. NCBI's taxonomy places the organism in Eukaryota, Metazoa, Chordata, Actinopteri, Siluriformes, Ictaluridae. The record is from Ensembl.